UACGUAGGUGGCAAGCGUUGUCCGGAUUUACUGGGCGUAAAGGGUAUGUAGGCGGCCAGACAGGUCCGUUGUGAAAACUCGAGGCUCAACCUCGAGAUGUCGAUGGAAACCGUCUGGCUAGAGUCCGGAAGAGGAGUGUGGAAUUCCUGGUGUAGCGGUGAAAUGCGCAGAUAUCAGGAAGAACACCUAUGGCGAAGGCAGCACUCUGGGACGGUACUGACGCUGAGGCGCGAAAGCGUGGGGAGCGAACAGG
Molecule: ribosomal RNA, 253 nt
Filed under: uncultured bacterium
Lineage: Bacteria
Description: partial 16S ribosomal RNA
Rfam family: Bacterial small subunit ribosomal RNA
Source: RNAcentral